Molecule: unclassified non-coding RNA, 391 nt
Filed under: soil metagenome
Description: partial contains 5.8S ribosomal RNA, internal transcribed spacer 2, and large subunit ribosomal RNA
Rfam family: 5.8S ribosomal RNA (bases 1-122)
Source: RNAcentral
GAUGAAGAACGUAGUGAAAUGCGAUACUUGGUGUGAAUUGCAGAAUCCCGUGAACCAUCGAGUCUUUGAACGCAAGUUGCGCCCGAAGCCAUUAGGCCGAGGGCACGCCUGCCUGGGCGUCACACGUCGUUGCCCCCCCAUCUACUCCUUCGGGAUUGCGGGGGGCGGAUGAUGGCCUCCCGUGCGCCUCGUCGCGCGGUUGGCCUAAAUGCCAAGUCCUCGGCGACACACGCCACGACAAUCGGUGGUUGCGAAACCUCGGUUGCCCGUCGUGUGCGGUCGUCGCGCAUCGAGGGCUCGAAAAAAUUGCCGGGCUUCGGCUCGACUUUCAACGCGACCCCAGGUCAGGCGGGGUUACCCGCUGAAUUUAAGCAUAUCAAUAAGCGGAGGA